AUCCAGCUGACGAGUCCCAAGUGGGACGAAACACUCGUACUGAAU
Schistosoma mansoni is the source of this 45-nucleotide non-coding RNA. The record is from Rfam. NCBI's taxonomy places the organism in Eukaryota, Metazoa, Platyhelminthes, Trematoda, Strigeidida, Schistosomatidae.